UAACGCGAAGAACCUUACCUGGGUUUGACAUGCACAGGACGCUGGUAGAGAUAUCAGUUCCCUUGUGGCCUGUGUGCAGGUGGUGCAUGGCUGUCGUCAGCUCGUGUCGUGAGAUGUUGGGUUAAGUCCCGCAACGAGCGCAACCCUUGUCUCAUGUUGCCAGCGCGUUAUGGCGGGGACUCGUGAGAGACUGCCGGGGUCAACUCGGAGGAAGGUGGGGAUGACGUCAAGUCAUCAUGCCCCUUAUGUCCAGGGCUUCACACAUGCUACAAUGGCCGGUACAAAGGGCUGCGAUGCCGUGAGGCUUAGCGAAUCCUUUUAAAGCCGGUCUCAGUUCGGAUCGGGGUCUGCAACUCGACCCCGUGAAGUCGGAGUCGCUAGUAAUCGCAGAUCAGCAACGCUGCGGUGAAUACGUUCCCGGGUCUUGUACACACCGA
This 437-nucleotide ribosomal RNA is filed under the name uncultured bacterium. RNAcentral's name for it is "bacterial SSU rRNA". It matches the Rfam family "Bacterial small subunit ribosomal RNA", at positions 957 to 1393 of the family's 1533-position model. The record is from RNAcentral.